GUGACAACAGCUCAUUGAUGAGAGGUUGGCAGUCCUGUGGGUGACAACAGCUCAUUGAUGAGAGGUCAGCAGUCCUGUGGGUGACAACAGCUCAUUGAUGCAUGGCUUUGCACCACAUCAACUCCCAUCAUCAAGUUUGCAGGCCUGAUAACCAACCUGUCUUACUUAUUGAUGUCAUGUUAAAUCCACUUCAAUCAGUGUAGAUGAAGGGGAGGAGACAGAUUAAAGGAUUUAAGCCUUGAGACAUGGAUUGUGUCUGAAGGCCAAGACUAGUGCCUUUGAACAGUUUCCCAAUGGUCCAUUGGGAAACUGUUGAGCGGGGAAAACCCAGCACCGUUGCACUUCUUGACACAUUCAAACAGGCGCUCCUACCCCAUUCAAAGGCACUAGUCUUGGCCAUUUCCCAACUGUGGGAAGUAAUUGGAGUCAACAUGGGCCAGCAUCCUCGUGGAACGCUGUCGACACCUAGAGUCCACGCCCCGACGUCAAGAGGGUGCAACUCAAUAUUAGGAAGGUGUUCCGUACCCUCAGUGUCUACAUUCACAUUUAAGUCAUUUAGCAGAGAGCAUUCAGUGUCG
Molecule: long non-coding RNA, 578 nt
Organism: Oncorhynchus tshawytscha (Chinook salmon)
Lineage: Eukaryota; Metazoa; Chordata; Actinopteri; Salmoniformes; Salmonidae
Source: Ensembl